UUUUAGGAAACAAAGGAUCGAGACGUGAAAUAGCUGCCCUCUCCCACCGCUGCCCGGCUCCCCAACCGCUAUAAAUACCUCCUCUCCCCGGCAACCACGCAUCGCCGUCCCACCUGCUUGCCUUCUCUUCUGUGUCCGCUUUCCCCUCUUCUUCUGUGCAAAACCCUAUCACUUGAUAUAGAGAUCUCUCGAUCGGGAGGCAAUGGAGGUCAUCCGAUCCAGCAUUCUCGUUGCCUUCUUCAUGGCUGUGGCCGCCGUGUUCUUCCUCGCCGGCGGAGCCGCCGGGGCCGACCCUCCCACCCCGGCUCCCGCCUCCACCGCCGGCGCGUUGACUCCUCCUUUCGCCGUCGCCGUCCUCGCCUCCUCCAUCGCGCUUCUCGUUGUAUCUCUCCGCCAUUGAGGGAUCUGCGGGUGCUGAGGUAGAUUCGUAGAUCUUUGCGCUCAUGAUCGAUCGAUGGUGUUCUUCAAGGUCUAGUACCUCGUAUAUGUGGUUCUUUGUAGAGUUUGGUUUUUUUUUUUGUUUUUAACAUCAUUGUUGGUUCGGGUCUGUAGAUGCCUUUUGUGCCUCUACAGGGUUAGAUCUGGACGUUAGGGUUUCCAUUGGGUAAUAAAGAUCAAUACAUGUGUGGGAGUGGGUCUAUGCGACAGUUUAUAGAUAUGUUACUUUUACUGCAUUAAUCGAUAUAGAUUGGUGUUAUUUUUGAAAUUUUGCUCUGAUUCUUGCUGGAUUUGAUUCUUGUGGUGAAUGAUCUGGUGCGCUUUAUGCAGCACUUUUGCUAUGGGAUGUUUAAUUUUACGUUUGGAUACUUAUUCCAUUUGGGGCCAAAUAGCUUUGAGGCGGUUGCGGAGUUCUAAUUUGAUCGGGUUGUUGUCAUAUGAUUAGCUUUUGGACGACCAAAAUCGUUGUUCUUUUAACUAUUAUUUUUUCGUUAAGCCAACUGUUUUCAUGCCGUAUUAGCAUUGGAUUGUUUGUUGAAUGGUGAGUCUCAUAUGAAAACUUAAUGGUUGUGGUCAAAGAAUGAUUGAUUGAUUUUGGUUUAUCACUGGGAAAUCGAAAUAUUAUGUGUGUUGAUACACCGCAAUGGGUCUAUGAUUUUGGUGUGCCUUAGAAAACUUAUAAUUCGUGAAAGUAAGUUUCAUCUUUCUUACAGUACGAUGGCUGUGAUUUUCCUGUUCAUUAAUUGCUUAAUUGUUUGUUCCUAUUUUCCAAACUAAAGCACCUUGAUCUAGCGGGGCGAAGUCAUGCCUUUUUUUGCGUUUGAAGUCAAGGUAUAUGCGCGUUAGGUAUAUGCGCGUUUAUAGUUCCCCGCGUACAAGUCAUUUGUGUUUAAUAGCUCCCCGUAUAUUUGCAAGCCUGGACAAUUAGCUCAGCUUCUAUCUUGUCAUUAUUGUAGCGUAGAAAUUUGAAAGGAAAAAUUGAGGAUCGCCCUCUCGGUCAUUUUGCAUCGAUCCUCUUGAUUCAAUUUUAUGGUCGAUUUAAUGAUUUGUCCUUCGUUUAUGCAUAUAUAUUUAAAACGUGUACGGCUGUGUACAUGAUUGCUUUGGCACUGGUUCGAUCUUUCUUUGCCUUUCGUUUUUGUUUUCUUUUUUUUCCCUGAUAAACCCCCUUUAAGUCUUUGAUGUCAGCUUGAAAAAAAGUAUUGGUUCGGUUUCUGUUCCCUUGUCUUGGAUGGCAGUCUGAAACAAAUAUCUUUUUGCAGUCAUGCGUGCCGCCUUCUGGCCUGGAACUGGUUCACCAGAUCCCAUGCUUACAAACUAUUUGUUUUUUUUUUUGAUUAACUGUUACAAACUAUUUGUUGGAAAUUGCUUUUGUUGUAGUGUGGCGGGAGAGUGCACAAAGGGUUGGACCAUUUGAUUGUUUGAUGCAGCAUCAACCACACACAUAUGGCCUUGAGAUGCAUGAGAUCCCUGGUGGAUCAAUUUUAAUCAGUUGUGCUCAUAGAUCCCAACUUCUCGAUGUGUAAUGUGUAAUUGACUGCAAUGGAUGAUCAGUUGGUUCAAUUAGUUCAGUGCUUAAAAGAUAUUCUCAUCGGUGAGCUUCAUGAACAAUCCAUGUGGUGAUCGAUGAUUUGGGCACAAUUAAAGCUAAAUGUGGAAAGAGGUCACCCAUUUAGAUAGGUAAUCAUGAUAGUGACCUGCAUUUCAGACGUUACCUUCGCGUUUGGGGUAGGGAUAUCAUUGCCUCUGACCGGUCAAUGCCGGAGCUUCUUUUCCACAGUAAAAUUUCGUGCACGCAGCAGCACCCCUAGAAAUAAGACCUAAAUCGACAUUGGAUUUAAAUUUACUCAUAAUUAACUUCUAUGGCCAAUAAAAGUAUCAAUAAACUAACUAUUUGGGGGACAACCUAAGUUUCGACUGAAAAUUUAUCUCAAGUACGACUCGGUUGGUUAGCAAACCAGCGGAGUUAAAAACAGAAUUUAGCCUGUUUAACUCGAAAUAUAAAUACAAAUAAAAUAAAUAUAUUAUAUAUAUUUUAAUUAUUAUUAUUGUUAUUUUAUUAUUAUUAUAAAAUACGUACAAUGUGAUAUAUUUCAGCUAU
This 2539-nucleotide long non-coding RNA is filed under the name Elaeis guineensis (African oil palm). Its description in RNAcentral is "long non-coding RNA (EGUI_LNC015814)". Lineage: Eukaryota; Viridiplantae; Streptophyta; Magnoliopsida; Arecales; Arecaceae. The record is from RNAcentral.